This 310-nucleotide ribosomal RNA is filed under the name uncultured bacterium. RNAcentral's name for it is "bacterial SSU rRNA". It matches the Rfam family "Bacterial small subunit ribosomal RNA", at positions 9 to 302 of the family's 1533-position model. The record is from RNAcentral.
GAGUUUGAUCGUGGCUCAGGAUGAACGCUGGCGGCGUGCUUAACACAUGCAAGUCGAACGGAACGCCAAGGAAAGAGUUUUCGGACAAUGGAAUUGGUUGUUUAGUGGCGGACGGGUGAGUAACGCGUGAGUAACCUGCCUUGGAGUGGGGAAUAACACAGUGAAAACUGUGCUAAUACCGCAUGACAUAUUGGUGUCGCAUGGCACUGAUAUCAAAGAUUUAUCGCUCUGAGAUGGACUCGCGUCUGAUUAGAUAGUUGGCGGGUAACGGCCCACCAAGUCGACGAUCAGUAGCCGGACUGAGAGGUUG